UGUGACAUUUCUGGCUGGCAAUCGAAUG
Molecule: non-coding RNA, 28 nt
Filed under: Cricetulus griseus (Chinese hamster)
Lineage: Eukaryota; Metazoa; Chordata; Mammalia; Rodentia; Cricetidae
Source: RNAcentral